Long non-coding RNA from Pantherophis guttatus, 271 nucleotides. RefSeq lists it as uncharacterized. NCBI's taxonomy places the organism in Eukaryota, Metazoa, Chordata, Lepidosauria, Squamata, Colubridae. The record is from RefSeq and is a predicted model, not a curated record.
UAUCCCUAUGCUGAUCUCCCUUUCUAUUCAUUUCCCUGCAUUCAUCUUCUGCUGAUAAGAGAGAGCUGAAGAAGCUUCUUGGAUGAGAAGGGAAACGUCUUCAAAGAAAAAAACCUCUUGGAAAAAACUACCUUUGGGACAACCAUGACCUAGAUGACUGAGAAUCUCCCUAGACAAACCAAAACAACAAUAACAGCCCAAAUUUCAGGAGCUUAAGAUGGAUUCCAUAGGGCUCUCCAUUGUUUUAUCACCAGCAAUCCAUCCAUCCAGG